GUUUGAUCCUGGCUCAGAACGAACGCUGGCGGCAUGCCUAACACAUGCAAGUCGAACGAGAUCCUUCGGGGUCUAGUGGCGCACGGGUGCGUAACGCGUGGGAAUCUGCCCUUGGGUUCGGAAUAACAGUUAGAAAUGACUGCUAAUACCGGAUGAUGUCGCCAAAGAGAUUUGGGGACCAAAGAUUUAUCGCCCAAGGAUGAGCCCGCGUAGGAUUAGGUAGUUGGUGGGGUAAAGGCCUACCAAGCCGACGAUCCUUAGCUGGUCUGAGAGGAUGAUCAGCCACACUGGGACUGAGACACGGCCCAGACUUCUACGGGAGGCAGCAGUGGGGAAUAUUGGACAAUGGGGGCAACCCUGAUCCAGCAAUGCCGCGUGAGUGAUGAAGGCCUUAGGGUCGCAAAGCUCUUUUACCAGGGAUGAUAAUGACAGUACCUGGAGAAUAAGCUCCGGCUAACUCCGUGCCAGCAGCCGCGGUAAUACGGAGGGAGCUAGCGUUGUUCGGAAUUACUGGGCGUAAAGCGUGCGUAGGCGGUUAUUCAAGUCAGAGGUGAAAGCCCGGGGCUCAACCCCGGAACGGCCUUUGAAACUAGAUAACUAGAAUCUUGGAGAGGUCAGUGGAAUUCCGAGUGUAGAGGUGAAAUUCGUAGAUAUUCGGAAGAACACCAGUGGCGAAGGCGACUGACUGGACAAGUAUUGACGCUGAGGUACGAAAGCGUGGGGAGCAAACAGGAUUAGAUACCCUGGUAGUCCACGCCGUAAACGAUGAUAACUAGCUGUCCGGACACUUGGUGUUUGGGUGGCGCAGCUAACGCAUUAAGUUAUCCGCCUGGGGAGUACGGUCGCAAGAUUAAAACUCAAAGGAAUUGACG
Molecule: ribosomal RNA, 872 nt
Filed under: uncultured bacterium
Lineage: Bacteria
Description: bacterial SSU rRNA
Rfam family: Bacterial small subunit ribosomal RNA
Source: RNAcentral